Molecule: long non-coding RNA, 1048 nt
Organism: Chinchilla lanigera (long-tailed chinchilla)
Lineage: Eukaryota; Metazoa; Chordata; Mammalia; Rodentia; Chinchillidae
Exons: 3
Source: RefSeq, a predicted model, not a curated record
UUCCAGUCACCCAGUAGAGCCUGGUCCCUACCCUGUGCACACUCAUCCUUAUCUCCUGUGCCACACUAUGCAAAGACCAUGCACAGAUACAAAACCUAGCCACCUGCUCACCUGUGCUAGAGAAGAACUGACUUCCCUACAAAAACACCGAGAUGUGCAUUUUCAAAACCCUCAGUGUUCCGAAUUUCUAACAAGAUUUUUCCAGCCUUCUGAUCCCGGGUGCAUCAUAUCCAGCCCAUGGUAACCUACUUCCAAGAACUUCCAGGUCCAGGCUCUGAGAGACUGAAGCAGAGCUUCGGAGCACCAGGAGGGAGCAUUACAGUGGGCCCCUCCUGCUCAACUUGUCUGGCUGGAUCUUUGGACUUGCCUCCUAUCCUCCUCAGCAUCUGAAGGGACACCAGGACCUGCCUCAGUCUCUGGUCAUCUGGCAUCAACGUAUAUUUGGUGUCCUCCCUCGAUGAGCCCUGUAGCCACAUGCUCAGCAGGCCAUGCUGCUGCCCAGGGCUCUGAGGAUGCAGGGUCAGGCCUUCUCGCUGCCUAGGGUCCCCAUAAGAAAUGGCAUAUGUGUUCUUGCAACUCUAGGAUGUCCUGAGCUCAUCAGGGGUUCUAUCAUCCCACUUUUGCACUUCCAAACCUCUGAAUCAGGAGGAUUCUGGGGCCACCAGCAGCCAGACCUUUUGGGGCCAGCCUGCUGUCUGCUCGCCUGGACCCCUCAUGUCCCGAUCACCUGGGCUCCUACCAGGUGCUUCCCAACUUCUGACUUGGCAGAGGCAGGAGUCCUCCUGUCCCUCGCCUACAGCCCUUUCUAAAGCAUCCACUCCGGUGGCUUCUACUCAUACCUGCUCUGUUCUCCCUUCCAUUGAAUCAGACUCAGACCUUGAAUGAGGAGUAAGAGGCACACGAGUAGGAGAUGAAAAAAAAAAAAACACCCACUCUAUGAAGCAUAUAAUAUACAUGAAAUAAUGCAGCAAAAUCAUCUUUUUCUGUCUUUUUCAUGGGACAAAUAGAGAUAAAAGCUGUCUAAGAUUAAAUGUCUACAUUACUUUCA